UGCCUAAACCCAUUGAAAGUGAUUUUGAUGGGCAUGGCAUAAAUCCAUCCAAGGUAUAGAACCCGUCGUCAGGGAUCCUUGGAUGGUCGUGUGUGGAAACGCAUACGUUGAGGCCGAAAGGCUUCUA
Molecule: small RNA, 127 nt
Filed under: unclassified sequences
Description: LOOT RNA
Rfam family: LOOT RNA
About the family: Latescibacteria, OD1/Parcubacteria, OP11, TM7. Lineage (Microgenomates, aka OP11)
Source: Rfam by way of RNAcentral